AUGGGUAUUGGUCAAAUCCUACCCAUUGAGGAACCCCUUGUGGCCGAAGGAGAAGGACAAUGCUCUACUCAAGUAGAUCCAUCACCUCAUCAAGACCCACACACUUCGGAAGAACAAAGUGAAGGCCCUCAACCUGGUGAACAAGGCCAAGGGCAAGAUCUACCUCAAGACGGUGAUGAACCACUAAAUGAUGCCCAAGGUCAAGUUCUCCCCCUCGAGCGAGUUCAAGAUCAAGAGCAACCUCAAGAUCAAGAACAAACUCAAGACGGCGCUCAAGAUCAUCAAGUCAACCCUCCUCCUUCCACACCCGAGGAGGAAUUAGAGCGUCGUGCCGCGAAGAUUGCUUCCAAGCUCACCACCUAA
This 363-nucleotide ribosomal RNA is filed under the name Triticum aestivum (bread wheat). RNAcentral's name for it is "partial small subunit ribosomal RNA". Lineage: Eukaryota; Viridiplantae; Streptophyta; Magnoliopsida; Poales; Poaceae. The record is from RNAcentral.